Molecule: unclassified non-coding RNA, 455 nt
Filed under: Hevea brasiliensis (rubber tree)
Lineage: Eukaryota; Viridiplantae; Streptophyta; Magnoliopsida; Malpighiales; Euphorbiaceae
Source: RNAcentral
AGGAAUUAGAAAUAGCAUUUCAGAUAUUGGUUCCACCAAUUAGUCAUUGUUUCUGAGGUUCCUCAAUAACUUGCUAGUUUAAUUUCUGAUCUUUCUGAAUUUUUGAAUUCUGCGGUUCUCCUAUGCUAAUUUUCUCCGUGUCCUAGGGUUAUUGUUUCUGAUCGAGAAACCAAACAUUUUAGUAACUGGAUUGCUGUGUACAGCUCUUGUUUCCUGUCACUUUAGAUAUUGCUUGUAACUGUUAUGGUGCAAUGCCUGUUUGAGGUGGUGAUGGUGUUCUCUUGUACACUUGAAAACAAGAUGUGGAAACCAGAAUUAACAUUUUCAAAAUUAAGUCUCUUCUGCUUAUUGUCUAUAAUUUUUAUCCUUUCUUCAAUGUUGUCUAAGCUUUUCUAGUUUGCUUGCUGAGAUAUCUUUAGGUCUGAUUGUAAUUACUGUUUGGUAUUGCAAUUGAA